CUCCAAGUUUACUCUUUCGGUAUCCCACCGUCUUCUCCCUACGUUUCGCAAUUCUUUGCACUAUUUGCAUUAAUUUUUUGCGGGGGUUCUAUGUUUCGAGAUGCUCAAGUGAAGAG
This is a non-coding RNA of Caenorhabditis elegans, 116 nucleotides long. The record is from Ensembl. NCBI's taxonomy places the organism in Eukaryota, Metazoa, Nematoda, Chromadorea, Rhabditida, Rhabditidae.